This 236-nucleotide long non-coding RNA is filed under the name Brassica rapa (field mustard). Its description in RNAcentral is "long non-coding RNA (BRAP_LNC008729)". Lineage: Eukaryota; Viridiplantae; Streptophyta; Magnoliopsida; Brassicales; Brassicaceae. The record is from RNAcentral.
CAUGCCUCAAACACAAUCAACAAUUGGUUAGUAAACAACACAGCAGAAGCAACAAACAAACAAGCAAGCAAGCAAGCAAACAAUCAAUUACUAAACAAACAAAUGGUCUCACCACUGAGGCCUAACUAACAAAAAGAAAGCUAGACUCGAUCCUAGACUCGAUCUACACAAACAAAAAUUCGGAUGACACACAUCCUGGGAUCCCAACACCUCGGAGCCCUAACACAUCUUCAUAC